GUGUCAGCCGCCGCGGUAAUACGAAGGACCCGAGCGUUAUCCGGAUUUAUUGGGUUUAAAGGGUGCGUAGGCGUCCUGGAAAGUUACGGUUGAAAUCUCCUUGCUCAACAAGGAAACUGGCCGUAAAACUAUCAGGAUUGAGUACAUUUGAAGCGGGCGGAAUGUGUCAUGUAGCGGUGAAAUGCUUAGAUAUGACACAGAACACCAAUUGCGAAGGCAGCUCGCUAAACUGUAACUGACGCUGAGGCACGAAAGCGUGGGGAUCAAACAGGAUUAGAUACCCCCGUAGUCC
RNAcentral lists this ribosomal RNA (292 nucleotides) under uncultured bacterium. Its description in RNAcentral is "partial 16S ribosomal RNA". It matches the Rfam family "Bacterial small subunit ribosomal RNA", at positions 505 to 796 of the family's 1533-position model. The record is from RNAcentral.